CCUGACUCCCUGCUGUAUCUUCUCCUGCUUGCUGUUGCAGAAGAUAUAUAAGUAUGUCUCUUAAACAAAGCAGGGUUUUUGUUUACUCAAAGCUGUAGAGAGCUAGAAGGAGAAUUACCCUCAAAUUUACAAUGAAAAAAAAAAUUCGGUAUAUCCCUGGCCUGGGCACUUCUGCUUGCUGCGAGCAUGGCCAAAGGGAAAAAAAAAAAUCACAUUAAAUAUGAGUGGUCCAAAUACAGUAGUUAAAAGAUAGAGAUUGUCAGAUUGGAUUUAAAACAAAAGCGAGACCAAACUAUACACUGUCUACAAGAAACUCACUUUACAUAUAAAGAUGAAGCGGUUGGAGAAAAGAUACACUGUGCAAACACAGAGGGAAGCUGGAGCCGCUGGAUGAAUUUUGAACAAAACAGACCCUACAAUAAGAACUACGCUCGGGAUAAAGAGGGACACUAAGUGAUUAUAAAGGCCUCAGUUCUCCAAGAAGUAAUUACCCUAAAUAUGCGUGUCGUUUACAGCAGAGCUCGGAAAUGCAUCAUGCGGAAGCUGGUGGAAUUGAAAAGCGCAAUAGAUUCGUUCACAGUUAUAUUGGAAAACUUGAGUGCUCUUUUCUUAGUAAAUGGUAGGACACGUAGGAGGAAUAGCAAUAAAAACAUAAUGACCCGAACAGCGUCAUCAAACAACUUGACCUAAUUGCCAUUUAUAGAACUGUAUUCCCAACAGCACAUCUGCCCAGCAGCCCAAGGAAUGUUUACCAUAGGCUACUGUAUUUGGGGCCACGAAACAAGCCUUAACAAGUUUCAAAUGAUAGACACAUCACGAAGUAUGUUCAUGAGCUGUAAUGGAAUGAAGUCAUUAGGUCUGAAUAUCCUAAAUGUCAAAGAGGAAGGUUUAAAAAAAUGUUGAACUCAAUGAAAAGGAAAGACUGCCUGUCCCAUCUGUGCGACAAAGCCAAAGCCGUGCUGAGGGGCAAGUUAUAUUGUUAAAUGAUUGAUGCUCAUGGCAGCACUGGAUCCCGGACCCACUGAGCGAGGCCAGGGAUCGAACUUGCAUCCUCAAGGAUACUAGUCAGAUUCGUUUCCACUGUGCCGCAAUGGGAACUCCUAAAAUUGUUCUCUCACCAGCUCAAGGAAAUGUUGUAUAUUUCUUCCUUGAUGUUUUUUUUUCCUCUUCCUUAAUGAUGUCUCCUUCCAGAACUUCUCUUAGACUAAUAUGGGAUAUUCUGGCCUUCUCUGCUAUAUCUUGUGUCUCAUUUUAUUUUAUUUAUAUUAUUAUUAUUAUUUUUUGUCUUUUUGCCUUUUCUAGGGCCUCUCCCGCGGCAUACAGAGGUUCCCAGGCUAGGGAUCGAAUCGGAGCUGUAGCCGCCGGCCUACGCCAGGGCCACAGCAACAUGGGAUCUGAGCCGCGUCUGUGACCUACACCACAGCUCACGGCAACGCUGGAUCCUUAACCCACGGAGGAAGGCCAGGGAUCAAACCCGAAACCUCAUGGUUCCUAGUCAGAUUCAUUAACCACUGCGCCAUGAUGGGAACUCCCUUAUUUGACUUUAAAUCUCUCUUCUUCUUCUUCUUUUUCCUUUUCUUCUUCUUUGUCCUUUCUGUUUUUUGCGGCAUACCAGAGUGAGCUGGGGCCAGCCCCUGUUCAGACUUUGUCUUCUUGCCGUCUCAGGGGCAAACCUCCCACUCUGCAGAGACACUGUGGGAAAAAACUGCCCGACUUUGUGGAGAGAACCAGCCUGGUUCCUGAGGUCCUUUGAUUCGCCUCUGAGCGGGUGCCCUGACCCUCAUCCAGUCGUCGAUCCUCCGAGCUCGGGCUUUCCCAGGACCCUUUUCUGGAAGCCCGUGCACUUGCUCCUUAGGGGCUUGGGCAAAAUCACGCGUGAGCUUAUCAGCCCUAGUCGGCUCUCCCUCAGUGACAUUUCAGCUACGUCAUAUUGUCCCCAUAGUCUUCAAAGCAUCAGCUUUAUUCAUGGCAUCUCUUGGGCUCCCAGCACUGCCGCGAAUGCUUUGGUCGUGUAAAUGUGGGGUUUGGUUUGGUUUUUGUUUUGGUUCUUGGAGGAGAGGGAAGGAGUCAGUGUCUGAGCCCCGGUUUGCCGCCCCCUAAACCCAAGGCCCCAGAGCCGAAGCAGGAGAGGUGAAUGAACCAUCCCAUGCGUGGCUGGACCCGGUGGCCUUUUAGCCACAACUGAGCUCUGGGGGGCUUGUCUCUGAAGUCUGAAGAAUAAAGCAGCAUAAUUAAAGGUUUGAGAAACGACUUUUACACAAAAGUCCAGAGAGAGAGAGGGUUUAAUUUAGCCAGAAGAAAAGAGUGAGGUGAGGCUGGACUGGUGAGUCCCACUGAACCUGCUAGAGAUGCCGCGGGAGGCGCGAAGCUUAAAUCCCAGCCUGGAUGAUUCAGGUUGGUGGCUACAAAGACCGGUCUGCUCUUCCGUGGCCGCGUGGUCUCACCAGGCCCUGCCUGGGUGGCCAGGUCAGGAAGUCGGCCUUUGCUGGUGAGUCUUCUGGGACGGGUAAGGGCAGCGGAUGGACCGGUGAUCCUCGGGUCCCCCUGCCAGCCUUGGGCUGCUCUGACUGUGACGCCUUGGUGCGUGUGGUUGCUGUUAGACGGGGAGGAAGAGCUGCUGCAGAGAAAGUCCUGCGGGUCAACAGCCCUGUUUUCAGCCGGUUUUCUUUUUUUAAGUGUGCGGACAGGGUGUUUUGUCAGGAGCACUUGCUCCAAAUCUUGGAAACCUGAAUGGAGACGCCUUCCUCUGACCUGCUGGAAGAACCGGGAUUUCAGUGCUUCCCUCUCUCCCUGCUGCUGGAGGCAGCUCAGCUCCCUGUGUGGCUGGAGCCUGGCUCCUUGGCCUCUGGCUGUCCCCUCCCCCAGGGCAGGGUGGAGAGUCCAGCGGGGACGAGAGGGCCUGGGGCAGUGCAGGGAGAGGAGCCACAGGCUCCCUGUGGUGGCUCUGUGCCUUGUCAGAGUUGCCUGGGCUUGGGUCUGUGGUGGCCGCGGGAGAGCCAGUUCCAAGCUGUGUGGCUGGUGACAUUUCCGGCACUGGGAGGGUGACAGUGCAUUGGUUUCAGUGCUUUGCCCCGGAAAGGUGGGCUCUGAGGCCAGGGCUGGAGGGACCUGCCAGGGUGUGGCUGUAGGCACAGCAGGGUUGCUGUUCAGGUCCUGUGCUGCUGCUGCCUCUGCUGGGCUGGAGUCAGGGGCCCAGCAGCCAGCGCCAUUCUGAGGCUCUGGGGCUGCUGGGUGAAAAAGCGACUGUCAGAGGCAUUUGCCUUCCUUGCAGACCCAAGUAGGGUGAGGAGUUUUGGUUUCCUCUCCGUGCUCCCUCUUUCAAAAGCCAAAACCAAACUGGAAUCAUAAACACCAGGUGGGUAGCCGAAGUACCCGGUGAAUAAUUUUGAAAGAAAAUGGGCUGCGGGGGGUGGGUGAUCUUCAGCCCACACCUCUCACUUUUCUGCCUCCAUGCUUAGCCUAAGCCUGAAAAAGAAAAUAUACAAACAAAAACUCCACAACCAAACAAAACCAUUUCAGUAGCAACACCCUGGCGAAGGGCCUGGAUCUUCGAGAAUGUUAAGGUUCAGGUGGUAGUUUUGAUUCCAGAUUCUGGUU
Molecule: long non-coding RNA, 3597 nt
Filed under: Sus scrofa (pig)
Lineage: Eukaryota; Metazoa; Chordata; Mammalia; Artiodactyla; Suidae
Description: lncRNA (ENSSSCG00030067109.1)
Source: RNAcentral